AGUGGAAUUGUUGGGUUAUUACAAUAAUAAUAACUCUGAUUAACUUUUUGAGGAACUAAGAGACUCUUUCCAAAAUUGGCUACAUAUUUAGUCAUUCCCACUGGCAAU
This 108-nucleotide microRNA precursor is filed under the name Marmota monax (woodchuck). The record is from RNAcentral. Lineage: Eukaryota; Metazoa; Chordata; Mammalia; Rodentia; Sciuridae.